AAGUCGUAACAAGGUUUCCGUAGGUGAACCUGCGGAAGGAUCAUUAACACAUCCUUUUCAAAUUCUCAAACGGCGAAUAACAGAGCCGUACCGGCAGAGGCCUAGGACGUUAUGCAUAGGAUCCCUUUCGUGAAAGGGAUCGGACUCCUAGGAUGUUUGUCCACCCGGGCAGUGCAAGCAAUUGCAUUGUUCGCUGUGUGAGGGGAUGCUCUGACCGGCCCGGUGCCCACAGCUCCUGUGCAUGCUGGCCUUUUUUUUUAACCUUUCACUUGAUAGCACUUAGAAUGCUUGCCGGUGGCUUCCACUGAGGAUUUGAGCUCUUCGUGAGUUCGUCCGAUGCGGCGGUUCCGACCGGUCCAGCGACCCUUGAGCGAGUCCUUGUGGCUCUGUUCAUUGGAAUCUAAACACAACUCUUAACAGCGGAUAUCUCGGUUCUC
RNAcentral lists this unclassified non-coding RNA (437 nucleotides) under fungal sp. Its description in RNAcentral is "partial internal transcribed spacer region". The stretch from base 1 to 46 matches the Rfam family "Eukaryotic small subunit ribosomal RNA", at positions 1786 to 1831 of the family's 1831-position model. The record is from RNAcentral. Lineage: Eukaryota; Fungi.